UCUUGCUGCCACCGGCGACGUCUGGUAUCCUCGCGGCCGUGCAUCCUGAGCUCGGCCUCCGUAGAUUCCACACGCCUGGUCGUCGCCUCAGGACUACCUGGUGCGCCGCCGCUGGCUGGCUUUCGGUCAGAGCCCUGCUCGCGGGACCUCUGGCACCGUCCCAUGGCUAGCAUCGCCGGCCCAUGGCUAGCCUAGCCGUCCUCGUGCAUUCCACCUGCAAGGUGCUCGAUGCUUUGCCCACAAGGAGGGAAACACAGAGUUUGCUACCGCCUGCCCUGUUCACUAGCAAGCCAGAUCAACUUCCAUGGAGUGGAGAGCCUGCAAUCGGGGGAGAUGGAGGCUGAAUUCAAUGCAACUAACCAAGGCCACUCAGCUUCCAAUCUAUGGUGGCAACGGCGAUCCGUGUUCUUGGUAGAAACUGCUUGGAGUGAUUCUUUGAGGAGAUGCAGACAAGGAGGAAAAGCCAACCCGGAGAAAUUAUUUCAUCUGAAUAAAGAAGUUUGUGGCUCUAUACUGAAGCCAACGUACAGGAUGAUGCUUGAUGGAAGUAUUGUAGCCUCCAGUAAUAAUCUGACGGUGGCUGAUGUUUUCAAGGGUUGAUGAAGGAGAAUUAUGUCUAGCAGAACUUCAUUAUUCGGUGAGAGUCUGAAGGCCUUGGAAGCUUUGCAACAAGAUUGUGCAACGAAUUCUCUAAUAACCACGAUCAAGAGAGGAUGGAUCUACCUUACCUGAAAAUUUAACAGCACUGGACUACGAACAGGGACAGAGUAGAUGCUGGUUCCAUUUUUCUUUUGGGACUCUGCAGGACUUUGACUUCUGACCUGGAAUAUACGUUUCUCAAGUGAUACGUGGCAGUAUAACUUGAAAUCUACAGGUUACAUAGAGAACAUGACAGCACAUGUGGCAGAUUUGGGCAUCGCAAGAUUUUGAGUAAUGACAACUACUUUAUCACUGCAAGCACGCCUGGAAAACUUGGGUACGUGGAACCAGGUACUGCCACUUGUAGGCCCUGUUUGGGACCGCGAGCGUGAUAAGCGCGAGUAGGAUAAGCGCAACUCGGCUCGCAGCCCGCUUAUGCGAUUCUGGGCCACGCAGUUCAGUCUUCGCGAUUUUCAGUUGCCGGCGGCCGGGCAACGCGCGUUUAACGCGAGCCUUUUGGCGGGUUUAUUCCGCUUAUUUGGCUCAGAAGCGAAGCCAACGCGGAAACAAACAGGGCCAUAAUUUGCUGAAAUAAAUCCUAUGCUGUUUUCUCUAGGACUACUUGGAUAUGGAUGUAUCAUCGUGAGCAGAGUAUGGAUCUCUCGGGAAGGCAUGGUCAAGAGCCAUGUGUUCAGUUAUGGAAUCAUGCUCCUAAAAGUCUUCACUGGAAUGAAAGAGAUUCACAGAUCCUAUAUAUGUUCCUUGGAGAGAUGAGCAUCAGGCUGUGGGUUUGUCAAGCAUUUCUAACUGAACUUCCCUCUGUUCUGGACAAGCAGCUACUGCAACUGCAAGAUGCUUAUCAAGUGACUCACCUGACGAAAGACAACCUGAUGAAGAGAAAAUAGGCAAGGCUGCACCAAAUGUUCUUUCUGCUGCUGCGAUAAAACGAUACAUCACCUUAUCUUUGAAUGCCAUAUGGCAAGGUUCAUUCGGAAUGCAGUCUAUAUCACUUUUGGUAUUCAACCACAUUCUUUUUUUAGAUAAUGGAUUGAAAAUCCGGCUUCAUCAACCUAAUGGUAGAAUUAGACUGAUAUUACAACGUUCAACAUCUAGCACAAAUCAAAGAGAGCUGUAGGAACAAAGUCACAGCACUUAAGGUCUCAAACAACCGAAAUAGAGUUUAUGACUACGCAGCACCAACUCUCCUAAGAGAGAGCCAGCCAUUGGAGUGAAAGAAGUGCAAUGCCGAAGAUUCAAGAUGACCGGCUGCUUGCACAAGUUCUUCACAACGGUCCUCAUGACGCUGAACCUUUGCCCACAUUCUGGUGUAUCAAAUCUGUUUGGUUCUUGGCUUGGAAGUUUUUCUUCGAAGUUUGGUUGAGUAGAAAUGAUGUAGCGUUCAAAAAGACCAAACCUAACUCUUUUUUGCAGGUCACUUUCAGAUGGACGUACCGGACAAGGUGCUGGUCACUACUCUCUAAAGAGGAAGAGGAGAAUGCCCGAAAGAAAAACUAUCGUCUUUUGGAGAUCACAGUGAUGGAGAUUCUAAGCAAGUUUGGAUGGAAGUUCAGCAACAGAAUUGAAGCUUGAGUCCUUGCUUUUAUCUUUCUGUUCUGCUGUCUGUUUUCUAUGGCCGUAUGACAACUUGGGCCUGAGUACAUGUUUUGUGUGGACUCCAGUGGCUGUAAGCAUCCACUUGUGCUUCGAUUCCAGCCAAGGUGAUGGCAGCGGCGGUUGCAAGCGGAUGUGCCGGAGCGGGAGGUGCCGAUUCAGGCAAAAUCAGGGGCCAUAUGCAAAUAUUUAGACCACGAUUAAUAAUCGCGAUCCAAACUAGGGGGCUCCUAAAGGACAUUCUUCGUUACGAAAGCGCUAGCUAGUCUUUAGUGCUGUAGGAAUGAACAGCAGUUUCACUAGUCUAAUUCCUCAAGCUUGACCUGGCAGCUCCUCAUCAGUUUUUGUUAUGGGUCUUUAUUUGCGAUUUUGGGCUGUUUCACUGUCUCAGUGCUCUGCCUCAACGUAUAUCUGGAGCUACUCCCUGCACUCCGGAGCGCCUGCCCUAUCCUAGGCAUCAACACCUGAUGGGCUGGGAGGCUGUUUCCUAUGGUCGUCUCAAACAUGAGUAGUCACUAAAUAGGUGGCCAUGGUGGCCACGUCUGUUUCUUGCUCUAGGAGGGUUG
Panicum virgatum (switchgrass) is the source of this 2816-nucleotide long non-coding RNA. RefSeq lists it as uncharacterized. The record is from RefSeq and is a predicted model, not a curated record. The transcript is spliced from 3 exons. NCBI's taxonomy places the organism in Eukaryota, Viridiplantae, Streptophyta, Magnoliopsida, Poales, Poaceae.